Molecule: ribosomal RNA, 497 nt
Filed under: uncultured bacterium
Lineage: Bacteria
Description: partial 16S ribosomal RNA
Rfam family: Bacterial small subunit ribosomal RNA
Source: RNAcentral
GAUGAACGCUGGCGGCGUGCCUAAUACAUGCAAGUCGAGCGGACGGACGAGAAGCUUGCUUCUCUGAUGUUAGCGGCGGACGGGUGAGUAACACGUGGAUAACCUACCUAUAAGACUGGGAUAACUUCGGGAAACCGGAGCUAAUACCGGAUGAUAUUUUGAACCGCAUGGUUCAAAAGUGAAAGACGGUCUUGCUGUCACUUAUAGAUGGAUCCGCGCUGCAUUAGCUAGUUGGUAAGGUAACGGCUUACCAAGGCAACGAUGCGUAGCCGACCUGAGAGGGUGAUCGGCCACCCUGGAACUGAGACACGGUCCAGACUCCUACGGGAGGCAGCAGUAGGGAAUCUUCCGCAAUGGGCGAAAGCCUGACGGAGCAACGCCGCGUGAGUGAUGAAGGUCUUCGGAUCGUAAAACUCUGUUAUUAGGGAAGAACAUAUGUGUAAGUAACUGUGCACAUCUUGACGGUACCUAAUCAGAAAGCCACGGCUAACUACGUG